This 472-nucleotide ribosomal RNA is filed under the name uncultured bacterium. RNAcentral describes it as "bacterial SSU rRNA". It matches the Rfam family "Bacterial small subunit ribosomal RNA", at positions 328 to 793 of the family's 1533-position model. The record is from RNAcentral.
UGACAGUACUCCUACGGGAGGCAGCAUGGGGAAUAUUGCACAAUGGGCGCAAGCCUGAUGCAGCCAUGCCGCGUGUGUGAAGAAGGCCUUCGGGUUGUAAAGCACUUUCAGUCGUGAGGAAGGUAGUGUAGUUAAUAGCUGCAUUAUUUGACGUUAGCGACAGAAGAAGCACCGGCUAACUCCGUGCCAGCAGCCGCGGUAAUACGGAGGGUGCGAGCGUUAAUCGGAAUUACUGGGCGUAAAGCGCAUGCAGGUGGUUUGUUAAGUCAGAUGUGAAAGCCCCGGGGCUCAACCUCGGAAUAACAUUUGAAACUGGCAGACUAGAGUACUGUAGAGGGGGUAGAAUUUCAGGUGUAGCGGUGAAAUGCGUAGAGAUCUGAAGGAAUACCGGUGGCGAAGGCGGCCCCCUGGACAGAUACUGACACUCAGAUGCGAAAGCGUGGGGAGCAAACAGGAUUAGAUACCCUGGUAG